AUAAGCCAUGCAUGUCUGAGUACAGCUAAAUAACCCGCGAGACCGCGAAUGGCUCAUUAUAUCAGUUGUUGUUUCUUUGUUGAAUGAAACCUAGUUUUCUUGGAUAACUGUGGUAAUUCUAGAGCUAAUACAUGCCUAACCUAAUCAAGCCUUGAACUAGUCGUCAGGGUGCUCUUAUUAGUGUCAAAACCUUUAACAUUGUAAUUUAUUUACUCUGUGUAUUAACCAAGAUGAUUCUCAAUAAUUCUAUGCUGAGCGCAGUCUUAUGAGCUGUUGCUACUCCUUUCAAGUGUCUGUCUUAUCAGCUCUCGACUGUAUGAUAUGUGUCUACAAUGGCGAUAACGGGUGACGGGGAAUCAGGGUUCGAUUCCGGAGAGGGAGCCUGAGAAACAGCUACCACAUCCAAGGAAGGCAGCAGGCACGCAAAUUACCCACUCCCAGCACGGGGAGGUAGUGACGAAAAAUAACAAUGCGAGACUCAAUUGAGUCUUCGCAAUUGGAAUGAGUACACUUUAAAUCCUUUAACAAGUAUCUAUUGGAGGGCAAGUCUGGUGCCAGCAGCCGCGGUAAUUCCAGCUCCAAAAGCAUAUAUUAAAGUUGUUGCGGUUAAAAAGCUCGUAGUUUACUUUCAGUUGUGGACUGAUGGUAUUUUACUGCCAGGUUUAUACCAUCACGCUCCAAAGCUGCUAAUGCAACCAAAAAAAGUUGUUGUGCUCCGCCAGCUCGCAUGGGAUGCUCUUCACCGAGUGUCCUGAGUGGCUGGCAUGUUUACUUUGAAAAAAUUAGAGUGCUCAGAGCAGGUUUUAUAGCCUGAAUGUCAAUGCAUAGUAUAAUGGAACAAGACCUCGGUUCUAUUUUCUGAAAAGGUUUUCUUGGAACCUGAGGUAAUGAUUAAUAGAGACAAGCGGGGGCAUUUGUACUGUGAUGCUAGAGGUGAAAUUCUUGGACCGUCACAAGACAAACAACUGCGAAGGCAUUGCCAAAUGUUUUCCAUUAAUCAAGAACGAAAGUUAGAGGUUCGAAGGCGAUCAGAUACCGCCCUAGUUCUAACCAUAAACGAUGCUAACCAGCAAUCCGCCGGGGUUAUUCCCAUGACCCGGCGGGCAGCUUCCGGGAAACCAAAGUCUUUGAGUUUCGGGGGAAGUAUGGUUGCAAAGCUGAAACUUAAAGGAAUUGACGGAAGGGCACCACCAGGAGUGGAGCCUGCGGCUUAAUUUGACUCAACACGGGGAAUCUCACCAGGCCCAGACACUAGAAGGAUUGACAGAUUAAAAGCUCUUUCUCGAUUCAGUGGGUGGUGGUGCAUGGCCGUUCUUAGUUGGUGGAGUGAUUUGUCUGGUUAAUUCCGAUAACGAACGAGACUCUGGCCUAUUAACUAGUCGACGGAUACAUUGUUGUCCAGUUCGCAACUUCUUCUUAGAGGGAUAAGCGGUAUGUCCUAGCCGCAUGAGAUUGAGCAAUAACAGGUCUGUGAUGCCCUUAGAUGUUCUGGGCUGCACGCGCGCUACACUGAAGGGAUCAGUGUGUUUUCCCCCUCCGAGAGGAGCGGGUAACCAGAUGAACCCCCUUCGUGAUAGGGAUUGGGGCUUGCAAUUUUUUCCCAUGAACGAGGAAUUCCUAGUAAGCGCAAGUUACCAGCUUGCGUUGAUUACGUCCCUGCCCUUUGUACACACCGCCCGUCGCUACUACCGAUUGGAUGAUUUAGUGAGGACUUUGGACUGUCACCUUUGGAUUUUUUAUGAUAAUCUCAGCUUGCAUGAGUGGGAUGAAGUAUUUUUUUCCUCUGAGCUGACGGAAAACUGUCCGAACUUGAUUAUCUAGAGGAAGUAAAAGUCGUAACAAGGUUUCC
Molecule: ribosomal RNA, 1849 nt
Filed under: Bathymunida nebulosa
Lineage: Eukaryota; Metazoa; Arthropoda; Malacostraca; Decapoda; Munididae
Description: SSU rRNA
Rfam family: Eukaryotic small subunit ribosomal RNA
Source: RNAcentral